RNAcentral lists this long non-coding RNA (423 nucleotides) under Anas platyrhynchos platyrhynchos (common mallard). RNAcentral's name for it is "lncRNA (ENSAPLG00000020288.1)". The record is from RNAcentral. Lineage: Eukaryota; Metazoa; Chordata; Aves; Anseriformes; Anatidae.
AUGAUGAAGCUGCACUUUCACUUUUGCCAGUAUCACUUGCUGCACUCAUUCAGCUGCAGAGAGACUCUGCUGGAAGGAAAGACCAUGUCCAGGGUCCCUCAUCCCUGUGCCAGGAUGCACAGGAGGGCUUCCAGAUUCCUUUUUAUUUGUGAGUUGUUCAAAUCCAGACUCUUCCAAAUCAAGCUCCUGACACCAUUUAUAUCUGUAUGAGAAGAGUGGAUGUGCCAAAACAAUAAAAAGACGUUUGUAAAGAAGACCUGGUACCUAAUGUAAAAGAUUAUUGCUAAAGCCCUGGAGUGGAGACAACUUACCUUUACUGGCAUUCACGUCUUUACUCAAACACAACUCCAUUUGAAAAUGAUUAGGAAAUUGCCGGUGCAAAUACCAAAUAAAGACUUCAAGUAUUGGCCCUUUAUGAUGAGU